CUAGAUAAGGGUUCUUGGCCACUCACAGCCUGGGGACUCUCAUUUUGCAUUAGCACAUUACAAGCAGACACUUUAAGCACUUCAAUGAGAUGAAACAGUUAUAGUGCCUACAGGUUCCAUUUAACUCAAUUAUUGAAGGCUAACAUGAAUCUAUCUUAGAAAUCCCAUUCAUUGCAAACUUUGCUGGGCUGAGCAUAUCAACAGGUAAAGUAAGUUUGUG
Non-coding RNA from Pelobates cultripes (western spadefoot toad), 220 nucleotides. The record is from the annotation of a GenBank genome assembly. NCBI's taxonomy places the organism in Eukaryota, Metazoa, Chordata, Amphibia, Anura, Pelobatidae.